RNAcentral lists this ribosomal RNA (391 nucleotides) under uncultured bacterium. RNAcentral describes it as "bacterial SSU rRNA". It matches the Rfam family "Bacterial small subunit ribosomal RNA", at positions 30 to 419 of the family's 1533-position model. The record is from RNAcentral.
AUUGAACGCUGGCGGCAUGCCUUACACAUGCAAGUCGAACGGCAGCACGGGAGCAAUCCUGGUGGCGAGUGGCGAACGGGUGAGUAAUAUAUCGGAACGUGCCCAGUCGUGGGGGAUAACGUAGCGAAAGCUACGCUAAUACCGCAUACGAUCUAUGGAUGAAAGCGGGGGAUCGCAAGACCUCGCGCGAUUGGAGCGGCCGAUAUCAGAUUAGGUAGUUGGUGAGGUAAAGGCUCACCAAGCCGACGAUCUGUAGCUGGUCUGAGAGGACGACCAGCCACACUGGGACUGAGACACGGCCCAGACUCCUACGGGAGGCAGCAGUGGGGAAUUUUUGGGACAAUGGGCGCAAGCCUGAUCCAGCAAUGCCGCGUGCAGGAUGAAGGCCUUC